UACGGGGGGAGCAAGCGUUGUUCGGAAUCACUGGGCGUAAAGGGCGUGUAGGCGGCCAAGUAAGUCGGGGGUGAAAUCCACUGGCUCAACCAGUGACGUGCCUUCGAAACUGCCUGGCUUGAGUAUGGCAGAGGGAAGCGGAAUUCCAGGUGUAGCGGUGAAAUGCGUAGAUAUCUGGAAGAACACCGGUGGCGAAGGCGGCUUCCUGGGCCAAUACUGACGCUGAGGCGCGAAAGCCAGGGGAGCGAACGGGAUUAGAUACCCCGGUAGUCCUGGCCCUAAACGAUGGGUACUAGGUGUAGGAGGUAUCGACCCCUCCUGUGCCGCAGCUAACGCAUUAAGUACCCCGCCUGGGGAGUACGAUCGCAAGAUUGAA
This 376-nucleotide ribosomal RNA is filed under the name uncultured bacterium. Its description in RNAcentral is "bacterial SSU rRNA". It matches the Rfam family "Bacterial small subunit ribosomal RNA", at positions 524 to 898 of the family's 1533-position model. The record is from RNAcentral.